Salvia hispanica is the source of this 219-nucleotide non-coding RNA. The record is from RefSeq and is a predicted model, not a curated record. Lineage: Eukaryota; Viridiplantae; Streptophyta; Magnoliopsida; Lamiales; Lamiaceae.
GGGAUCCGCCUGGAUUUGCAAAGCUUCAGGGGUCGACGACGUCGUUAACCCGAAGUCGAUUUCGGACGAAAAUCCAAUCUGUUUUUUAAAGCUCCAUCGGAUGGGCAGGUCUGAAUCCUCGGCAUAUGUGGGGUUUAGAUGUAGGACCGUGUAUUUGUUGAUCCAUAUUUGGAUUGUUUUGAAUCAAAUUCCAAUGUUGAUGUUUAGUUUUUUGCUCUC